AUUAGCUUUGAUCAGUUCCUUACAACAGAAGAUAUAAAAUUAAAAAAAAAUUAAAAACAUAUUCCAUGAGUAAGAAUUUUACACAUAUAGAUUCUUUUUGAAGUUGAACCCCACCAAUAUGGCUCCUCCAUAUAACCCACUUGUUUUUCAACAUAUUCCUUUGAUAAUUUCUUACUUCAUUUGUGCUACAAACAAACCAUAUAAACUAGACAACUUUACCAUAUUUCUUAGAAGAAACAUAACACAAAAUGGCUUCUAGCAAGGUCAAUGCUGCUGGGGGUGUUGAAGCUUGCACUAGCUCUAGCAGCAGCCAAGUGAGUAUGCAGGAGAAAAAGCCUAACACCAAAGGCUCAACCUCAUCAAGUUCCAACAUGGAGAAAGCGCUCGUAAAAAGAGCGCUUUUUGGCUUGCGCCAUCGCCAUGCUGGAGGUAGAAGGAAUUCGAACAGCAGUGUUAGAUCAUUACCAAGCAGGUUAAGCAAGGUUUCUCUGGCUGAUGAGCCAGCGGACUAGUAAGAAGGAGGUGGAGAACCAUAUUCACAGUUGGAGAAUCAUAGAAUUCGUAAGAGUAUUGGAAGGUGUUUGACCAUUGAGUUUGUUAGUGAAAAGUACAUAGAAAAUAAUUGUGUGAUGUUUGAUUUUGAGCAUUGAUUAAUGAUGUAACAUGUAAAUUAAAGCAAUGUAUGAAAAACCAAUUCAACCCA
This is a long non-coding RNA of Humulus lupulus (European hop), 703 nucleotides long. RefSeq lists it as uncharacterized. The record is from RefSeq and is a predicted model, not a curated record. NCBI's taxonomy places the organism in Eukaryota, Viridiplantae, Streptophyta, Magnoliopsida, Rosales, Cannabaceae. The transcript is spliced from 2 exons.